AUUGAACGCUGGCGGAAUGCUUUACACAUGCAAGUCGAACGGCAGCACGGACUUCGGUCUGGUGGCGAGUGGCGAACGGGUGAGUAAUACAUCGGAACGUGCCCGAUCGUGGGGGAUAACGUAGCGAAAGCUACGCUAAUACCGCAUACGAUCUAAGGAUGAAAGCGGGGGAUCGCAAGACCUCGCGCGAUUGGAGCGGCCGAUGGCAGAUUAGGUAGUUGGUAGGGUAAAGGCCUACCAAGCCGACGAUCUGUAGCUGGUCUGAGAGGAUGGCCAACCAAACUGGGACUAAACAACGGCCCAGAAUCUUACGUGAGGCAGCAGUGGGGAAUUUUGGACAAUGGACGCAAGUCUUAUCCCGCCAUUCCGCGUGCAUGAUCAAGGCCCUCGUGUUGUAAACUGCUUUUGUACAGAACGAAAAGGCUCUGGUUAAUACCUAGGGCUCAUGACGGUACUGUAAGAAUAAGCACCGGCUAACUACGUGCCAGCCGCCGCAGUAA
RNAcentral lists this ribosomal RNA (500 nucleotides) under uncultured bacterium. RNAcentral's name for it is "partial 16S ribosomal RNA". It matches the Rfam family "Bacterial small subunit ribosomal RNA", at positions 30 to 523 of the family's 1533-position model. The record is from RNAcentral.